RNAcentral lists this long non-coding RNA (819 nucleotides) under Monodelphis domestica (gray short-tailed opossum). RNAcentral describes it as "lncRNA (ENSMODG00000042206.1)". Lineage: Eukaryota; Metazoa; Chordata; Mammalia; Didelphimorphia; Didelphidae. The record is from RNAcentral.
UUUUUUAAAAAGAGCUUAGAUGUCAUCUUUCAAGAAAUUAUCAAGGAAAACUGAUCUGAUAUUCUAGAACCAGAUGGUAAAAUAGAAAUGGAAAAGAAUCCACUACUCACCUCUUCAAAGAAAUUCCAAAAGGAUAAUUUCCAGGAAUGUUAUAGCCAAAUUCUAGAACCCUCAGGUCAAAGAGAAAAAUAUUGCAAGCAGGCAAAAAGAAAUCAUUCAAAUAUUAUGGAUCCUCAGUCAGAAUAAGAGAUUUAGCAGCUUCUACAUUAAAGGAUCAGAAGGUCUGGAAUAUGAUAUUCUGGAAGACAAAGGAGCUAGAACUCUAACCAAGAAUCAUUUAUCCAGCAAAACUAAGCAUAAUUCUUUAGGGGGGGGGAAUGGGUAUUCAAUGAAAUAGAGGACUUUCAAAUAUUCCUGUUGAAAAGACCAGAGCUGAAUGGAAAACUUGACUCUCAAAUACAAGAUUAAAAAGAAGCAUUAAAAAGACUAUGCACAGGUAUUGAAGAAAAGGAAAUUUUUAAAAGAAGCAGCUAUGGAUGGAUGGAUCAGCUAAGUUUCAUUUAUAAUGUCAUUGUGGAUUCUGUGUUGCUCUGGCUGUGGAAAAGACAUGGCAGAGGAUGCUGCCUCUCUCUCAAUCAAUCUGAUGUACAAAUCACUCAUUUCUGUGAAAGAUGGUUGUAUAAGAAUCAGUAUCCCCAUUCAACAGAUGAGAAAACUGAGACUUCAAGGGAUUAAGAUUACUUUUAGUCAUAUGGUUAAAGAAUGUUGUAAGCAAGGAAACUGCCUCACUUAAAAAAUUUUAAUAAAAGUAUUUUCCAU